This 480-nucleotide ribosomal RNA is filed under the name uncultured bacterium. RNAcentral's name for it is "partial 16S ribosomal RNA". It matches the Rfam family "Bacterial small subunit ribosomal RNA", at positions 28 to 523 of the family's 1533-position model. The record is from RNAcentral.
GACGAACGCUGGCGGCGUGCUUAACACAUGCAAGUCGAGCGAUGAAACACCUUCGGGUGCGGAUUAGCGGCGAACGGGUGAGGAACACGUGAGGAAUCUGCCUUCCACUCUGGGAUAACUCCGGGAAACCGGGGCUAAUACCGGAUACUUUCAACUGGCGGCAUCGCCGGUUGAAGAAAGUUUUUCGGUGGAAGAUGACCUCGCGGCCUAUCAGCUUGUUGGUGAGGUAAAGGCUCACCAAGGCGACGACGGGUAGCCGGCCUGAGAGGGCGACCGGCCACACUUGGACUGAGACACGGCCCAGACUCCUACGGGAGGCAGCAGUGGGGAAUAUUGGGCAAUGGAGGAAACUCUGACCCAGCGACGCCGCGUGAGGGAUGAAGGCCUUCGGGUUGUAAACCUCUUUCAGCAGGGAAUAAGCGAAAGUGAAGGUACCUGCAGAAGAAGCACCGGCUAACUCCGUGCCAGCCGCCGCAGUAA